UACAGAGGGUGCAAGCGUUAAUCGGAAUUACUGGGCGUAAAGCGUGCGUAGACGGUUAUUUAAGUCAGAUGUGAAAUCCCCGGGCUCAACCUGGGAACUGCAUUUGUGACUGCAUAGCUAGAGUACGGUAGAGGGGGAUGGAAUUCCGCGUGUAGCAGUGAAAUGCGUAGAUAUGCGGAGGAACACCGAUGGCGAAGGCAAUCCCCUGGACCUGUACUGACGCUCAUGCACGAAAGCGUGGGGAGCAAACAGG
RNAcentral lists this ribosomal RNA (253 nucleotides) under uncultured bacterium. Its description in RNAcentral is "partial 16S ribosomal RNA". It matches the Rfam family "Bacterial small subunit ribosomal RNA", at positions 524 to 776 of the family's 1533-position model. The record is from RNAcentral.